This 1092-nucleotide long non-coding RNA is filed under the name Nicotiana benthamiana. RNAcentral's name for it is "long non-coding RNA (NBEN_LNC005709)". The record is from RNAcentral. Lineage: Eukaryota; Viridiplantae; Streptophyta; Magnoliopsida; Solanales; Solanaceae.
UGUUUAAAAAAAAAAAUAAAAGCAAGUGAGUCUUCUUUCUAGAUUCUCUAUGAUUUUGCAAACAUCCGAAGUGUAAAAACAUCAGCAUCGAUAUCUUGUUGCAAGGGGAGGCAGAAUGUACUACAUCCAUAGGACUAAUUAGAAGUCUAAUAUUACCUGACUAUCACAUUCUAGGUAAUUUGCUCACUUGACAUUCAACUUAAAGCAGCCGGCCUUGUAAAAAAAUAUGUAUAACUUCACUGAAACUUAGUAAAUCUAACUUCAAUGAAGCCCUCUAGCUAGCCGAUAAAUAUACUAGACAAAGAGUAAAGACCAAAAAAGCAGGCUGAGAAUCUUGUUUUGGAUCAAGAUUUGCCUGUUUCGAGUAAAGUUGUUAGAAUAUUGAAGCAACCGCUCUUAAAGUUGAAGAAACAUGUCUAUAGAUUUUGUCAAGGAUUUUAUUGUCUAUUUCUGAAGAGCAUGAAUUAUACCUUGUUGACGUAGUGAAUUAAUUUAUCCAUUUCCUUGAACCAAGACUCAGCAUAUUGGUACUGAAAGUCAUCUCCCAUGGUCCACAUGAUGUGAUUUGUACGUGUCACAUUUGCCUGCAAAUCACAUGUUCCAGGUUAUCACCCAUUGCAUCAAAUUACAUGAAAACCUUAUCACAUGUUCCAGGUUAUCACCCGUUGCAUCAAAUUACAUGAAAACCUAUUUCCUUCGCCACUUAUUAUGGUUCUAUGAGAAAUACUUGUUAUGAUAACUGAACAGAACUGCAAUUAGGGUGUACUUGAGUGAUUGCAGAAUUGAUAAAGUCAUUAACGCGUAUGUCAACAUUGAAAUCAAAGAUAAAAGGAUCAUCCUGCAAUUCAUAUGGAAAAUAUAUGAAAUUAGUUCUCCCUUUAUAAAGCACACCAUAAGACAGGCUAAUUCUUGCAUUCUGAUAGAACCUGGACAGGAACAAAAUCAUCGUCCACUUCAAAAUGGAAACCAUUCGGUGGACUAUAAUGUACAGGAAAUGCAUUGGUAAAUAUCUGCAAAUCACCCACAUAUCAUUAACCACAACGAAUUAUAAAAAAUACAUGGACAAAGAUCAAGAAUGCUUCAUGAACCUGG